This 253-nucleotide ribosomal RNA is filed under the name uncultured bacterium. RNAcentral describes it as "partial 16S ribosomal RNA". It matches the Rfam family "Bacterial small subunit ribosomal RNA", at positions 524 to 776 of the family's 1533-position model. The record is from RNAcentral.
GACAGAGGGUGCAAACGUUGCUCGGAAUCACUGGGCGUAAAGGGCGUGUAGGCGGAUAGAUAAGUCGGGCGUGAAAGCCCCGGGCUCAACCUGGGAACUGCAUUUGAAACUGGCGGGCUUGAGUGUGGCAGAGGGGGGUGGAAUUCCGCGUGUAGCAGUGAAAUGCGUAGAGAUGCGGAGGAACACCGAUGGCGAAGGCAGCCCCCUGGGCCAACACUGACGCUCAGGCACGAAAGCGUGGGGAGCAAACAGG